This 22-nucleotide microRNA is filed under the name Sarcophilus harrisii (Tasmanian devil). RNAcentral's name for it is "Sha-Mir-7371-o24_3p (mature (guide))". Lineage: Eukaryota; Metazoa; Chordata; Mammalia; Dasyuromorphia; Dasyuridae. The record is from RNAcentral.
AAGUGGUGUCAUGUACAAUUGU